GUGCCAGCCGCCGCGGUAAUACAUGUGGGGCAAGCGUUGUUCGGAAUUACUGGGCAUAAAGGGUGCGUAGGCGGCUUAUCAAGUCGCAGGUGAAAGUUUUCGGCCCAACCGGAAAAGUGCCUGCGAUACUGAUGAGCUUGAGUGCGUGAGGGGUCGGGGGAACGAGCAGUGUAGCGGUGAAAUGCGUAGAUAUUGCUCGGAAGGCCAGAGCCGAAGGGGCCCGACUGGUGCGCAACUGACGCUGAGGCACGAAAGCGUGGGGAGCAAACAGGAUUAGAUACCCGAGUAGUCC
This 292-nucleotide ribosomal RNA is filed under the name uncultured bacterium. Its description in RNAcentral is "partial 16S ribosomal RNA". It matches the Rfam family "Bacterial small subunit ribosomal RNA", at positions 505 to 796 of the family's 1533-position model. The record is from RNAcentral.